UUUUCUUAAAUUUCCACAUCAUAGCCCAUCAUCAAAGGAAGUCAGGGCAGGAUCCUGGAGGCAGGAGAUGAGGCAGAGGCCAUGGAGGAGAGCUGCUUACUGGCUUGUUCCUUAUGGAUGGUUCAGCCUGCUUUCUUAUAGCAUCUAGGACCAUCAUCCCAGGCAGGCACUUUGGCAACUGCACCACCUCCUCAACUCCUACUGUCAUCAUAGUACCUUCAUCCAGUAACUGAUGGAAGCAAAUGCAAAGAUCCUCAUCCAAGCACCAGGCUAAGCUACAGCUGUCCAGUCGAAGAGAAAGAAGGAUUAUAUGAGCAAAGAGGGUCAAGAUCAUGAUGGGGAAACUCACAGAGACAGUGGACCUGAACUUGCUGGAGCUCACGGACUCAUUGAACUAUAUACUGAAUGCAGAGACUGAUUUGUGGAAAGUUGGUGUCAUGAUAUUAUUGAAUCAUGUGAAUAACGUGAGCAUCAUGUGGCUGGGCCCAAUCCCAGGAUGCAUUAUUUAGAUUCUAUCCCUGAUGACAUCCAAUAAACCAAUCUUAAGGAAAG
Molecule: long non-coding RNA, 552 nt
Filed under: Cricetulus griseus (Chinese hamster)
Lineage: Eukaryota; Metazoa; Chordata; Mammalia; Rodentia; Cricetidae
Description: lncRNA (ENSCGRG00015040457.1)
Source: RNAcentral